UGUGAUCUCGACUCACUGCAACCUCCGCCUCCUGGGCUCAAGUGAUUCUCGUGCCUCAGCCUCCUGAGUAGCUGGGACUACAGUUGUCCCUUGGUGUGGGAUUGCUUCCAGUACCUCUGUGUGUAACAAAAGCUGCACCAUUCAAGUCCCACAGUUGCCCUGCGAAACCUCUGUAUAUGAAAAGUUGGCCGUCCAUGUACAUGGGUUUCCCAUCCUGUUGGCAUUCUUCUUGUUUCGUCUCCUCCUCCUUUCCCUGGAUGAUCUUACUUCCUCCCUGGUCUUUAACCAUCACCUGCAGGCUGACAGCUCCCAAAUCUCUAUCUUCAAUCCAGAUGUCUGUCCCAGGCUCCAGUUUUGUGGUUCCACCUGAGACCUUUCCACCUAUAUGCUUUACAGGUCACAGAAUUUUCCACACUCCUUGACGGAGGUGCUUAACCCUUAUCCAUCAGCAUUCUCAGACAGCACCUCCGGUUAGGGACAGUAUCUGACCGUCCGACAUCCCUGCAGCCCCCAUGUGUCACACAGACUCAGCCUCAGGUAGAUGGUUUCCGUAGAUGGUGGCUUUCUUUGGACCCUUGACAUCAACCAGUUACUAUUUGCUCAGCAAGGCCCACAUUUUCCCGGUGAAGCCACAGAACCACAGGGAGAAACCCAUGGACUUCGCCUCUCUCUCUAGGGGACCAGAUGUGCAGAGGUAAUGAAUACCAGGGAAUCAGGAAACCACUGGAUCAGUUCUUUGAGCCACAGAACAACACUCAUCCCAGCAGCUGGGAAGCUAUCUGCAAAAGUCCAUCUGCAGAAAGGGCUUCCUGGUCUUGCGUGUGGCUGGGCCAUUUCUCUGGAUGCAGGUUUUUCAUUAUACAGUCUUCUCAAAGAAACACCUGCUCUCAACACC
RNAcentral lists this non-coding RNA (895 nucleotides) under Pan troglodytes (chimpanzee). Lineage: Eukaryota; Metazoa; Chordata; Mammalia; Primates; Hominidae. The record is from RNAcentral.